Molecule: transfer RNA, 84 nt
Filed under: Termitidicoccus mucosus
Lineage: Bacteria; Pseudomonadati; Verrucomicrobiota; Opitutia; Opitutales; Opitutaceae
Also listed under: 1 other name
Description: Opitutaceae bacterium TSB47 tRNA-Leu
Rfam family: tRNA
About the family: Transfer RNA (tRNA) molecules are approximately 80 nucleotides in length. Their secondary structure includes four short double-helical elements and three loops (D, anti-codon, and T loops).
Source: RNAcentral
GCCCGGGUGGUGGAAUGGCAGACACGACGGUCUUAGAAGCCGUUGCCGCAAGGCGUGCAGGUUCAAGUCCUGUCCCGGGCACCA